Molecule: ribosomal RNA, 484 nt
Filed under: uncultured bacterium
Lineage: Bacteria
Description: bacterial SSU rRNA
Rfam family: Bacterial small subunit ribosomal RNA
Source: RNAcentral
GAUGAACGCUAGCGAUAGGCCUAACACAUGCAAGUCGAGGGGCAUCACAUGAAGUAGCAAUACGGAUGGUGGCGACCGGCGCACGGGUGAGUAACACGUAUGCAACCUGCCUUCAACAAGGGGAUAACCCGUUGAAAGACGGACUAAUACCCUAUAACACAGGGGUCCCGCAUGGGGAUAUUUGUUAAAGGACAACCGGUUGAAGAUGGGCAUGCGUUCCAUUAGCUAGUUGGCGGGGUAACGGCCCACCAAGGCAACGAUGGAUAGGGGAACUGAGAGGUUUAUCCCCCACACUGGUACUGAGACACGGACCAGACUCCUACGGGAGGCAGCAGUGAGGAAUAUUGGUCAAUGGACGCAAGUCUGAACCAGCCACGUCGCGUGAAGGAAGACGGCCCUACGGGUUGUAAACUUCUUUUAUACGGGAAUAAAGUGCCCCACGCGUGGGGUUUUGCAUGUACCGUAUGAAUAAGGAUCGGCUAAC